CCCUUAGAUGUUCUGGGCUGCACGCGCGCUACACUGAAUCUAUCAACACGUUUUCCCUCCCUGAGAAGGGCGGGUAACCUUUUGAAUCAGCUUCGUGGUAGGGAUCGGGGCUUGCAAUUGUUCCCCGUGAACCAGGAAUUCCUAGUAGACGCGAGUCAUAAGCUCGCAUCGAUUAAGUCCCUGCCCUUUGUACACACCGCCCGUCGCUACUACCGAUUGAACGUUUUAGUGAGGCAUUUGGACCGACGCAUCUCAGUUUAACCGCUGGUUUGUGUUGGAAAGACUUCCAAACUUGAGCGUUUAGAGGAAGUAAAAGUCGUAACA
This 324-nucleotide ribosomal RNA is filed under the name uncultured eukaryote. RNAcentral describes it as "partial 18S ribosomal RNA". It matches the Rfam family "Eukaryotic small subunit ribosomal RNA", at positions 1470 to 1796 of the family's 1831-position model. The record is from RNAcentral.